CAGGAGAAGUCAAAUAUUCACAUAUUGGAGAAGACUUCACAUUCCUUGGAUAUCUUGGACUUUGAGCUGAAUUCACUGGAAGGGACUUCGGGUUGUCUUUCCUAGGGAGAAGCUUGUGCAUGUGUGACUGUGGAGCAGCUGCAUGGCAGCUGAUGCUUCAACAUCUCAAGAGAAUCACAAGGCUAGAGAGACGCUGAAUCCCAUCUGUGGGGAAAAUGGAAAUUCCAUGGCCAGGAUCCUCACCUGAUCCUAAACUACAAAUGAUGUAACUGGCCUACUGCUUCCACACCCACAGGGAAUGAGCUGUUAUUGACUGAGUCACUAUAUAAGCAGCUCCACCCAGUGCUCUGGGUGGAGGCAGAGACAGAAGUGGAUUACAGACCUGCAGACUGCUGGAUGUAGACAUGAUUCUAGUGCUUGACCUACUACCAUGAGAAUAAAGCCAGGUAUAAAC
Long non-coding RNA from Manis pentadactyla (Chinese pangolin), 454 nucleotides. RefSeq lists it as uncharacterized. Lineage: Eukaryota; Metazoa; Chordata; Mammalia; Pholidota; Manidae. The record is from RefSeq and is a predicted model, not a curated record. The transcript has 3 exons.